RNAcentral lists this ribosomal RNA (439 nucleotides) under uncultured bacterium. RNAcentral describes it as "partial 16S ribosomal RNA". It matches the Rfam family "Bacterial small subunit ribosomal RNA", at positions 339 to 795 of the family's 1533-position model. The record is from RNAcentral.
CUACGGGGCGCACCAGUGGGGAAUAUUGCACAAUGGAGGAAACUCUGAUGCAGCAACGCCGCGUGGAGGAUGACACUUUUCGGAGCGUAAACUCCUUUUAUAUAGGAAGAAGAUGACGGUACUAUAUGAAUAAGCGCCGGCUAACUCCGUGCCAGCAGCCGCGGUAAUACGGAGGGCGCAAGCGUUACUCGGAAUCACUGGGCGUAAAGAGCGUGUAGGCGGAUUAAAAAGUCAGAAGUGAAAUCCUAUAGCUUAACUAUAGAACUGCUUCUGAAACUCUUAAUCUAGAAUAUGGGAGAGGUAGAUGGAAUCUCUGGUGUAGGGGUAAUAUCCGUAGAGAUCAGAAGGAAUACCGAUUGCGAAGGCGAUCUACUAGAACAUUAUUGACGCUGAGACGCGAAAGCGUGGGGAGCAAACAGGAUUAGAUACCCCUGUAGUC